AAGAAAAUACGGCCGAACUCCGGCGCACGGCGUCGGGGGCGGGGGAACCAAACCAGUGGGGUGAAUCUCCGAGUAAUUCGGAGUAGGCAAGCUCCCUCUGCCGAACCCGUCAGCUAACCCCGUAGGCACUCAGGGAGAGGAUAG
This 144-nucleotide small RNA is filed under the name Dehalococcoidia bacterium. RNAcentral's name for it is "c-di-AMP sequence". It matches the Rfam family "c-di-AMP riboswitch aptamer (ydaO/yuaA leader)". Rfam says of the family: This family represents a conserved RNA structure found upstream of the ydaO and yuaA genes in Bacillus subtilis and related genes in other bacteria. The record is from RNAcentral. Lineage: Bacteria; Bacillati; Chloroflexota; Dehalococcoidia.